Molecule: ribosomal RNA, 492 nt
Filed under: uncultured bacterium
Lineage: Bacteria
Description: partial 16S ribosomal RNA
Rfam family: Bacterial small subunit ribosomal RNA
Source: RNAcentral
AGUGAACGCUGGCGGUAGGCCUAACACAUGCAAGUCGAACGGCAGCACAGUAAGAGCUUGCUCUUACGGGUGGCGGGUGGCGGACGGGUGAGGAAUACAUCGGAAUCUACUUUUUCGUGGGGGAUAACGUAGGGAAACUUACGCUAAUACCGCAUACGACCUACGGGUGAAAGCAGGGGAUCUUCGGACCUUGCGCGAUUGAAUGAGCCGAUGUCGGAUUAGCUAGUUGGCGGGGUAAAGGCCCACCAAGGCGACGAUCCGUAGCUGGUCUGAGAGGAUGAUCAGCCACACUGGAACUGAGACACGGUCCAGACUCCUACGGGAGGCAGCAGUGGGGAAUAUUGGACAAUGGGCGCAAGCCUGAUCCAGCCAUACCGCGUGGGUGAAGAAGGCCUUCGGGUUGUAAAGCCCUUUUGUUGGGAAAGAAAAGCAGCAGGUUAAUACCCCGCUGCUCUGACGGUACCCAAAGAAUAAGCACCGGCUAACUUCGUG